GACGAGGGUGGCAAGCGUUAUUCGGAUUUACUGGGCCUAAAGCGCGCGUAGGCGGCUUGGCAAGUCGGGGGUGAAAGCCCGCAGCUCAACUGCGGAACUGCCUUCGAUACUGCCGGGCUUGAGGGCGGGAGGGGUGAUUGGAACUCCAGGUGUAGCGGUGAAAUGCGUAGAUAUCUGGAGGAACACCGGAGGCGAAGGCGAAUCACUGGACCGCUUCUGACGCUGAGGCGCGAAAGCUAGGGGAGCAAACAGG
RNAcentral lists this ribosomal RNA (253 nucleotides) under uncultured bacterium. RNAcentral's name for it is "partial 16S ribosomal RNA". It matches the Rfam family "Bacterial small subunit ribosomal RNA", at positions 524 to 776 of the family's 1533-position model. The record is from RNAcentral.